Molecule: ribosomal RNA, 233 nt
Filed under: uncultured bacterium
Lineage: Bacteria
Description: partial 16S ribosomal RNA
Rfam family: Bacterial small subunit ribosomal RNA
Source: RNAcentral
UGAGCAAUCUGCCCUUCUCAUCGGAAUAAGCGUUGGAAACGACGUCUAAUGCCGAAUACGACCUCCUUUCGCAUGAUCGGAGGUGGAAAGUUCCGGCGGAGAAGGAUGAGCUCGCGGCCUAUCAGCUAGUUGGUGUGGGUAAUGGCCCACCAAGGCGACGACGGGUAGCCGGCCUGAGAGGGUGACCGGCCACACUGGGACUGAGACACGGCCCAGACUCCUACGGGAGGNAG